AUUGAACGCUGGCGGCAUGCUUUACACAUGCAAGUCGAACGGUAACAGGCCGCAAGGUGCUGACGGGUGGCGGACGGGUGAGUAAUGCAUCGGAACGUGCCCAGUCGUGGGGGAUAACUACUCGAAAGAGUAGCUAAUACCGCAUACGAUCUAUGGAUGAAAGCGGGGGACCGUAAGGCCUCGCGCGAUUGGAGCGGCCGAUGUCAGAUUAGGUAGUUGGUGGGGUAAAGGCUCACCAAGCCAACGAUCUGUAGCUGGUCUGAGAGGACGACCAGCCACACUGGGACUGAGACACGGCCCAGACUCCUACGGGAGGCAGCAGUGGGGAAUUUUGGACAAUGGGCGCAAGCCUGAUCCAGCAAUGCCGCGUGCAGGAAGAAGGCCUUCGGGUUGUAAACUGCUUUUGUACGGAACGAAACGGCUCUGGUUAAUACCCGGGGCUAAUGACGGUACCGUAAGAAUAAGCGCCGGCUAACUACGUG
RNAcentral lists this ribosomal RNA (482 nucleotides) under uncultured bacterium. RNAcentral's name for it is "partial 16S ribosomal RNA". It matches the Rfam family "Bacterial small subunit ribosomal RNA", at positions 30 to 507 of the family's 1533-position model. The record is from RNAcentral.